UGGGGAAUAUUGCACAAUGGGGGAAACCCUGAUGCAGCGACGCCGCGUGAGCGAUGAAGUAUUUCGGUAUGUAAAGCUCUAUCAGCAGGGAAGAAGAUGACGGUACCUGACUAAGAAGCCCCGGCUAACUACGUGCCAGCAGCCGCGGUAAUACGUAGGGGGCAAGCGUUAUCCGGAUUUACUGGGUGUAAAGGGAGCGUAGACGGCGGCGCAAGCCAGAUGUGAAAGCCCGGGGCUCAACUCCGGGACUGCAUUUGGAACUGUGUGGCUGGAGUGUCGGAGAGGCAGGCGGAAUUCCUAGUG
RNAcentral lists this ribosomal RNA (303 nucleotides) under uncultured bacterium. RNAcentral describes it as "bacterial SSU rRNA". It matches the Rfam family "Bacterial small subunit ribosomal RNA", at positions 355 to 675 of the family's 1533-position model. The record is from RNAcentral.